Long non-coding RNA from Nomascus leucogenys (northern white-cheeked gibbon), 1251 nucleotides. RefSeq lists it as uncharacterized. The transcript is spliced from 2 exons. Lineage: Eukaryota; Metazoa; Chordata; Mammalia; Primates; Hylobatidae. The record is from RefSeq and is a predicted model, not a curated record.
GCCCCCUUCCUGCCCAGCCCCUGACCUUUUGCUCUUGGUCGAAGUCAGCUUUCUGCGUGAAGGGGCUUUCGCUCUGGAACCACAAAGUCUGCCAUGCCCUGCGGCCACCGCCCUCUGUAGGUGGAGGAUGGAGAGAAAGAAGGCUGGGAGCCCCACCCAGGUGGCCAUGGGUCCAGUGUUUGCCUCCAUUGAUGUAAAAAUUUGCCAGGAAUUUCACCGCCUUCUGGUCAAAAUUCAUCAUCAGAGUCUCCUGGCUGUCUUCCCCGAGGGCACCACGGAGCUCUGUGACCUCACUGGUAGGCCCUUCUGUUGCUGGGACUCCUGAGGAAGAUGCAUUGUCUGGCCCUGGAGGGGCUGCCCCGGCCCCCACCCCUGGUGGGCCCAUCCCCCAGUAACUAGAUGAUCACUAGGUCUGUCUGGGCCAAGAACUCCAGCCUGCCCAGGUGACUCCUGCCCAGCCCUCUCCCUUCCCCACUAACUUUUCCAGCUUUCUCCCCUCUCCUAGGGUCUCCUGGAAGUCUGGAGUCCACUCUAGCAGGUCUGGGAGAACUGAGGCCUCUUAGCAGAGGGGGUGGAGGGAACAGGACCCAUGGGCAUCCACCAAGCCCUAGGAGAUGCCCAGCUGUGUCCGGCCAGCCAGGACCCCCUGGGGGUAGGAGGGAGGGGUCCAGGAAGGCUCCCUGGAGGAAGAGGAGCCGCCACCCCACCUGGAUUUCCACUUAAGGGAAAAGCAAAGCCACAUCAGAUGGGUCUGACACCAGAGAGCCAGAGCUGGGGUGUGAGGGCCUGCCUCUCACCUGGGGGCACAGAGGCUAGAAGGUGUCACAGAUGGCUGGGCUGCCCGAGCUGCAAAGGAACAGCCAGCCUGUGUGAGCAAGAGUCCGUGUGGGCACCAGGGCCCUCGCUGUGUGGUCUCUGGAGCUGACCACUGGCUGGUCCCAGCCCUGACCUUGGCCCAGAAUCCACCAGGGCAGGGCCAACUUGGGACCCUCCUCCGCCCUCUCUGGAUGCCUCCCCUUCAGCACUGGGCCUGCCAAGCAGACAGAUGGACAUGUGCUUGAGGAAACGCAGGUUUUAUCUGGGCAAGGGGUUCAAGCCCUGUGCUCCAGGGCCCCUGCCCAGAUCGUGCCAGGUUUAGAGUUGACUGGCUGCCAGUGGGACAGAGUGUACUUUGCUGAUGAAUCCCUUGUCAUUGGACAGAUAGACCCCCCCAGGUCCUCCCUGCCCUGUAAUAAACGUUGCCGCCAUGAA